Eptesicus fuscus (big brown bat) is the source of this 491-nucleotide long non-coding RNA. RefSeq lists it as uncharacterized. The record is from RefSeq and is a predicted model, not a curated record. Lineage: Eukaryota; Metazoa; Chordata; Mammalia; Chiroptera; Vespertilionidae. The transcript is spliced from 2 exons.
AGGACCCUCAGCCUCACCACAUGGAGCGGCCACUGGGCCCUGCCUCCACUGUGCACGUGGCCAUCUUGUGGUGGUGAUCUUGUGGUGGCCAUCUUGUGGCAGCCAUCUUGUGACGACAUCAUGCGCGAGGGCGUAAGGACCACCUAGCCUUUGGCCCUUUGAGUGAUCCACUGUGGAAAACAUCUUGCAACUACCCUGGGAUCAACCACCACCAGAUAAUGAUCGUGGGACAACUGACCUCAUCCUCAUUCCCAAGCCCUACACUUGCCCCAAGGACUGAUAGAAGCCAUCCACAAGAACCCUGCCAGGAACUUGGCUUCUCUUUUCUGGUGGACUCCAUUGUGCACAAACUCUUUUCAAUAAACUCUAUCUGUUUGAUACUGGACAGAAUUCAGUGCUUAUCUCUAUGACAUUGAGACCUAGAAACCUGGCAUUCAAAGUCUGCUAACAUGUAGGCAAACUUUAUAAAUUAAAAAUAUCUCACUUAUGAA